This 482-nucleotide ribosomal RNA is filed under the name uncultured bacterium. RNAcentral describes it as "partial 16S ribosomal RNA". It matches the Rfam family "Bacterial small subunit ribosomal RNA", at positions 30 to 507 of the family's 1533-position model. The record is from RNAcentral.
AUUGAACGCUGGCGGCACGCUUUACACAUGCAAGUCGAACGGUAACAGGCCGCUAGGUGCUGACGAGUGGCGAACGGGUGGGUAAUGCAUCGGAACGUGCCCAGUCGUGGGGGAUAACUACUCUAAAGAGUAGCUAAUACCGCAUACGAUCUGUGGAUGAAAGCGGGGGACCGUAAGGCCUCGCGCGAGUGGAGCGGCCGAUGCCAGAUUAGGUAGUUGGUGGGGUAAAGGCUCACCAAGCCAAGGACCUGUAGCUGGUCUGAGAGGACGACCGGCCACACUGGGACUGAGACACGGCCCAGACUCCUACGGGAGGCAGCAGUGGGGAAUUUUGGACAAUGGGCGCAAGCCUGAUCCAGCAAUGCCGCGUGCAGGAAGAAGGCCUUCGGGUUGUAAACUGCUUUUGUACGGAACGAAACGGCUCUGGUUAAUACCCGGGGCUAAUGACGGUACCGUAAGAAUAAGCACCGGCUAACUACGUG